UGCGGCCUACGGGGGGCAGCAGUGGGGGAUAUUGCACAAUGGGGGGAACCCUGAUGCAGCGACGCCGCGUGGGCGAUGGAGCGCCUCGGCGCGUAAAGCCCUAUCAGCAGGGAAGAAGGUGACGGUACCUGACUAAGAAGCCCCGGCUAACUACGUGCCAGCAGCCGCGGUAAUACGUAGGGGGCAAGCGUUAUCCGGAUUUACUGGGUGUAAAGGGAGCGUAGACGGUGUGGCAAGUCUGAAGUGAAAGCCCGGGGCGCAACCCCGGGACUGCUUUGGAAACUGUCAUGCUGGAGUGCUGGAGG
Molecule: ribosomal RNA, 305 nt
Filed under: uncultured bacterium
Lineage: Bacteria
Description: bacterial SSU rRNA
Rfam family: Bacterial small subunit ribosomal RNA
Source: RNAcentral